AAUCAGGAGCGCCGGCGGGAGGCGGGUCCGCUCCGAACCGCGGGACCUUCCGUUCUGGCUCCGCCAUCUUUGAGACUCUGUGGGCUCCCGAGGUUGCUCUUCCUGUUUGGCCUUGUGACCUCCUUUGACUUCGGCAGCCGUGAGGUGGACAGCAGGACACCCAGAAGCAGGGAGAUGGAGUUGGUGACCUUUGAGGAUGUGGCAGUGAACUUCACCGUGGAUGAGUGGGCUUUGCUGGAUCCCUCCCAGAAGAAGCUCUACCAAGAUGUGAUGCAGGAAACCUUCAGGUGUCUGGCCUCUCUAGGAAAAGAAAGAGACAGCCAGACCAAUGAGGAUGCAUACAAAAAUCCUGGGAAAAAUCUAAGAAGUCAAGUAUUAGGGACACUCUGUGAAGGUAGUGAACAUGGAGACAUCUUCAGCCAAACUCCACAUUAUAUUGAGAACAAUACAACUCUUCCUGGCGCAAAACCAGGUGAAAGCUUUGUGUGUGGAGAAGUCCUCAUUGACAAUUCAUCACCAGAUGUGCUUUUCAGAUCUCAAACUGGACAUAAACCAUAUGAAUAUCAGCAAUAUGAGAAGUCUGUUGUUUAUUACCAGUGCUUGCAGGAGCAUGGAAAGACUCAAACGGGAGUGGAACAACAUGAACAUACGCAGGGUGGGACAAUCUUAACUUGUCCUGGUUCCCUUCCAAUACAUGAAAGGAUUGACACUGGAGAGAAACCAUAUAUAUGUUCACCGUGUGGUAUAGCCUUCAAUAAUCACAGUACUCUUCGAUACCAUGAAAGGGUUCACAGUGGCAGAAAACCCUAUGGAUGUCAGCAGUGUGGGAAAACCUUUAGUUGUUUCAGUAGUUUGGGAAGACAUGAGCAAAAUCACAAUGGAAAGAAACCCCAUGGAUGUAAGCAAUGUGAAAAAGCCUUUUUUUCUUUGAGUCACCUGCGAAGACAUGAACAAACUCACAAUGGACAGAAACCUUAUGUAUGUGAGCAGUGUGGGAAAGCCUUUCAUUUUCCCUGUUCCCUCAGAAAACAUGGAAGAACUCACACUGGAGAAAAACCCUAUGUAUGUAUAGAUUGUGGGAAAGCCUUCAGUGACUCUAGUUCCUUUUAUAGACAUAAAAGAACUCACACUGGAGAGAAACCCUAUGUAUGUGAACCAUGUGGAAAAGCAUUCAGUUGUUUCAGUACCCUUAAAGUACAUGAAAGAAGUCACACUGGAGAGAAGCCCUAUGUAUGUGAACAAUGUGGAAAAUCACUCAGUUGUCUCAGUUCCCUUAAAUUACAUGAAACAAUUCAUACUGGACAGAAGCCCUAUGUAUGUAAGCAGUGUGGGAAAGCCUUUAGUUAUUUGAGUUCCUUUCGAACCCAUGGAAGAACUCACAAUGGAGAGAAACCAUAUGUAUGUAUGCAUUGUGGUAGAGCCUUUAGUUAUUCUUUUUCCCUUAAAUAUCAUGAAAAAACUCAUACUAGAGAGAAGCCCUCUGUAUGCAAGGAGUUUGGAAGAACCUUUAGUUCUUUCUGUUACAUUAAAAUAUGUGAAGGCAUACACAAUGGAGAAAAAUCCUAUAUAUGUAAAGAAUGUGGAAAAGCAUUCAGUCAAACCAGUCAUAUCAUCAGACAUCAAAGAACUCACACUGGAGAGAAACCCUAUGUUUGUAAGCAAUGUGGAAAAGCUUUCAGUGACUCUAGUUCCUGUCACAGGCAUAAAAGAACUCAUACUGGAGAGAAACCUUAUAUAUGUGAACAAUGUGGAAAAGCAUUCACUUGUUUCAGUUCCCUUAAAUUACAUGAAAGAAUUCACACUGGAGAAAAACCAUAUGCCUGUGAACAAUGUGGAAAAGCAUUCAGUUGUUUCAGUUCCCUUAAAUUACACGAAAGAACUCACACUGGAGAAAAACCCUAUGUAUGUCAGCAAUGUGGAAAAUCCUUUGGUUAUUCUGGUUCCUUUCGGGACCAUGCAAAAAUUCACAGUGGGCUAAAACCCUAUGUCUGUAAACAGUGUGGGAAAGCUUUUAGUUACUCUAGUUCCUUUCGAAAACAUGAAAGAACUCACACUGGAGAGAAGCCCUAUGUUUGCAUGCAAUGUGGGAAAGCCUUUAGUUCUUCCUUUUCCCUUCAAAAUCAUGAAAGAACUCACACUAGAGAGAAACCUUCUAUACGCAAGGAGUAUAGAAAAGCCUUUAGUUCUUCCCGUUACAUUAAAAGACGUGAAAGAACUCAUACUGGAGAGAAACCCUAUAUAUGCAAGGAAUGUGGAAAAGCAUUCAGUCGAUCCAGUCACGUUCUCAGACAUCAAAGAACUCACACUGGAGAGAAACCCUAUGUAUGUAAGCAAUGUGGAAAAGCCUUUAGUUCUUCUAGUUAUAUUAAAAUACAUGAAAAAACACAUACUGGAGAAAAAUCCCACGUAUACAAGCAGUGUGGGAAAGCUUUCGUUCAGUCCAACUAUGUUCUCAUAGAUGAAAGAACUCAAGGGAAAGUAGCGCUGACCAAAGACUGUGGUAAGACUUCUUUCUUGAACUUUAUGUCAAAUGUGAACAGUGGAGAGAACUUGUAUUAAUGUUAAGUAUGUGGGGAUGCCUGCAGUCAUUUUGUUCAGUAUAUACAUAUAAAUGAACAUAGAAGAGAUGUGCAAAAGCCUUCAGUUGACCCAUGUGUAAGUAUUUGCACUGAGCAAAAAGGCUGUGAAUGUGAAAAAUACAAGAAAGUUGUCAUUUAACAGAAAAAGUUUCACUGUCCUCUAAAAAGGCCUCUGGACUGGAAUUCUAAAGGUGUGAUUACUGUGAAGACCUUGAUGCAAAAUAAUUUUGAGUAGAAUGCUUCAGAAAAUGCACCACCUGAAGGAAAUGUACUAGUCAUGAAUUGAUUGUGCUCAUCAGUGGCUUUUUUGGGAGAGGGAAGCAUCUUGUCUUUUACAUGUAGUGUUUAUUUUCCCAAAUGAAUGCAAGCUGUGAAGGGCAUGGACAUAUUUUAUAAAUAUUUCUGCCACCCUCAGUUCCAAAGCCUCAGGGGAGUGCUUGCUUUUGGAGGGAUAAAAGAACCAGCCCUGGGACUCCAGUCUGAGUCAUCUCUGCCUCUGAUGACUGCAGGACCCAAUAAUUCUAUUAACUUCCUUGGGCCUCACAUGAAAUAGAGUACAGAGGCCUCAUACUUUAUAGGUAAGUGCUAUACCACUGAGUCAUAUCCCCAGACCUGUUUCAUUUUGGAAUAUGUCCAAGUUGUCGAGGCUCAGCCUUCCAUGUAGUUGGACCUUCAGGUGUGUACCACUGGCUCAGCUAAAACUUUUUAUUGGGGCCAUGCAAGAGUUCUUACCUGUCAGGCAACUGCAUUAUGUUCCUUCUCAACUGUAGUUAUGGGGGUAGGUGUAGAUUCUGCUAGCACCAGGCUUGGAUCCCACUGAUAUCAGACCUCCUUUUCAACACAGAUAUCUUGUUAGCUUGUAAUUGAGCAAAAAGAUAUCCAUACAACCCCAGAUUGAUAACACCUUUGAGCCAGCUCCAAGUAGUUUCUCAUGCAGGUGCACCGAGAGUCAAUGUAACCUCUACUUUACCUUGUUGCUUAUUAUGGCUCAUUACCAUAUGUAAUCCCUCUCCCUUUAGCUGAAUAAUUAUAUGCUAAUGAGUUGAGUGGAGUUCCAUGAAGUUACCUCCCUAUUCCAAAUAGUCAACCCCUGAUGUUACUAUCAGUUCUAAACAACCACAGCCCUUCUAACACUGGAGCUGCUCAGCUUUCGGGUAUGUCUGCAUGCUGUUCCUAGUAUGUGUACCUUCCCUUUGCAACAAAACAGUUGUUCUUUUGCUAUAACCUGACGUGUCCUUAAAUUCUUUUUAGUGGUUGGGCAUGCCUGUAAUCCUAGUAGCUCAAGAGGCUGAGUCAGAAAGAUCACAUGUUCGAGACCAGCUCCAGCAUCUUGGUCCCUAAACAACUUUAGGAGACCCUAUCACAAAAAAUACAAAAGGAUUAGGGAUGUAGCUCAGUGAUUAAAUGCCCCUGGAUUCAUUCCCCAAUAUAAAGACAUAAAUAAAAUUAUAUUUGAUGGCAUAGUCAGGAACCUAGAAAGAUUUCAGUGGAGGUCUGCUCUGUCUGGACAACUCUGCAAACCCCUAACUGGUGACAGUUUUCCUUCCUUGGCAAGCCAACAGGUAGUAAAUUGAAGGCAACAGCACAAACUGGUGAGUGGCCAACUUUUUUCUAGCAUAUUCUAUUUAGUCUGCUAUCCCUUCACUAGAUAAAUUUUCUGCCCCCCCCCCCUUGCCUGUUUUGUUUCCUCUUAAAUCAUUGUAGCCUUGCCUCUUCUAGUUUGGAACGUCUGUGAGUGCCUGAUUGUAAGCAAUCAUUCCUUCCAGCUCAACAGGGAGAACAUGUGAGGGGAAACACCCUGCAUCUGCAGCACCCUCUCAGGGAAGCCCCAAAGGAACACUUCAUUUCUGGGUGUGAGGAACAUCCCUGGCUCAUGUGGGACGAUACACACAGGUUGAUCACCAGUGUCUUGAGGGACAGAAGACGUGUCCAUUAAAUCAGGUUUGUUUUGUUUUGUUUUGUUUUGAGGUGUAGAUGGACACAACACAAUGCCUUUAUUUUUGUGUGAUGCUGAGGAUUGAACUGGGUCCCACUCGUGCUAGGCGAGCGCCCUACUGCUGAGCCACAAUCCCAGCCCCUAAAUUAGUUUGUUGUUGUUUGUUUGUUUUUUAAGGCAUCUAGAGAAAACGUACCUGAUCCUGUUCAAUGGAUGCUGCUCACGUUGCUCUGACUCUGAAACUCAACCUUUUCAAGCUUUUGCAUUUACUUGCAAAGGCUUGUUACUAAGCUUUCGGGAGGACAAUCUUUUUUGACUUUCCGUGGUCAUCUUUGGAAUCACCCCCACCCUAAUCUUACAGAAGAUAACUCUCCUCUCUCACACACUAAAGGUCUCUGCCCUUGGACUCAUUUUCUGGUAGAUCCCUGCUCUCACCUUAUCCAGGAGUUAGCUUCCCUGCCCACUUCCUCUCCUUCCAUCACAACACUGGCCGACUUGGCAUCCUCGAUUGCUCUGGCAGUGGUGUGGGGAUAAGAUAGUCACUAAGUCCAAAUUUUUUCCAUUAGAAAGCUCCUAUUUUCCUCAAACCUCUCACCAAAUAUUUGGGGGAGUGUUCAGGGUAUUUGUCCUUUUACCCUGCUGAACCAUAUGAAUAAUUAUAAGGAUGAAUAUAAAUUAUUUCCAUUACUGAAAAUUGCAUUCAAGAUUUUUAUAGGGCCCACCAAAACUGACUUUUAUUCUGACAUUGUUCUUUUUUCAAGAACCCUGAUGGAGCUUUGUGGCUCUUGUAAAUGGGCUUUGAGAAUGCUAAGCAGAUUCUGGUCUCUAGGAGUACUUGGGUACCACAGUAUUAUGUUUAGGGAUGUCUAACAUCCUUAACCUUCAGGAGGAUCGCAAGCCAGACCUGUGUAGGCCAAAUCCACAGUAGAUUGCUCUUGAACUUUGUCCAUAGGGGCAAGGAUCUCUUCAGGAGAUGAUCAUUUGUGGGGUUUUUUUGUUUUUUGUUUUUUGUUUUUUGUUUUUUUUCUCUUUCAAGCCUAAGAAGGUUUAAAUACCAGUUCAUUACCAAUCUGAGCUUUUUCAAAAUGGUUGAUGCCUCACCUCACCCAUCCUAGCCAGUUCCCCUUUGGGGUUUUGUUUUGUUUGUUUUUUGUAGUAGGGAUUGAAUCCAAAGACAGUAAGUAUACCACUAAGUAUAUUCCUGGGCCUUUUUAAUUUUUUAUUCCAAGACAGAUCUCACUAAAUUACAGAAGGUCUUGCUAAGCUCUGGCCUUGAAUUUCCUGCCUCAGCCUUUCCAGUCACUGGGAUUACGGACAUAUACCACAGUGCCCAGCUCCUUUGGGGUUGAUUAGAAAAGUAAACCACAUGUAAGAUAAAUGGCUCAUCAUCUAAGGUUCACAGAUUCAAGAAAAAGGUUGGUUUUGUCUUACAGUACUUCAAGAUCUCAAUUGGGAAUUGGGGAAAUUUGACCUCCCAAUGGAUCUCUGAAUUAAAAUACAAGGCUGCAAUUGAAUCUCCUGCAAGGGAGAGGAAAACUGGACAGAAGUUCCUUAUGUCCAGACCUUCAUGGUCUUGUACCAGGACUCUGGGCUGUAGUCAUGUUCCUUGCCAGAAGCCAGGAAGAAUGUUCUGAGUGAAAAUGUUGUGUGUCAACACAGCAGGCCUGUGGAGCUGGGAGUCCAGCCUCUCCCACGUAAGGGGACCCCCAGUCACUUCUCAGUGCCAUUCAAUCCAAUUGCCCCACCUAUUUGUCCUCAGACAUAUACCUCACUUCCUGGUGGGGCCCCAGAACAACUACCAUGUGUCCACUCUAGGAAGUCUCCAACGCAGAUGGUAUCACUUGGGUAUAUUCCCCUUUCUAUAGUUUAGACUUGAUGCAAACAAAAACUAAUGAUGAUCUGAUGGGAUUGAGGCAAAUUGAUUAGUUACAGGUGCUGUGACCUUUAAUCUUGCCUGGGGUGACCUGUUUUUAGUGUUGUCCGCCUACUGUACCCUAGAGGAGAAGGUUCAUGCCUGGGGCAAGGCUCAGGCUUAUGCUGAAGGUGUAGUGACCCUGGAUUUCAGUCAGGGAGUAGGAACUACUGCAGGAUACACCCAGGAUCCUAACUGGAUUGGCAGCCAGGGUAUACCACCCUGUUUCAGUACACAACCACACCAGCCAGGGUCACUCGAGAUGAACUAGGCUGACACGAAAGAAUCACACAGAGUCAGAGAAAUACCUUUUCCUUUGGGUUCUGUGAUGGCUCCUCUGACCCAGCUCCCACAUAGGUGGCAAGACAGCAUGCCUCGAACCCAGGGUUUAUUGUAGGAGGCUGUUCCAUGGAAUAUUCUAUCCCCAAAAGGGCAAAGGGGUAGGAUUACAAAGGAACAGGUGAGUGUAACUCAACCCCGGAGGGUGACACCUACUCCUGGAGCAUGCCUUGUUAUCCAAGCUGGGGUAACGCCCCCCCAAGUUACUGUGACCUGGCACUGUCGUCCAGACUGAAGGUAAUAAUUGUUCAGUGGCUUGGGACAUCAGGACUUAAAGGCAUCUGUAUCCAAGACAGCUCCCAACACCAACCUUUCUCAUCGAAUCACAUGACAUUUAAUUAAAGGAAUGAAAAUGUGCAUGAGCAAACAAAUAAAUAAUGAAAAGGUCACAGAAAUAACUUGGGAAAGGGAUGACAUUCAUUGCCAGUCUCCUGAUUCUAUCAGCACUAAAACCAAAUGGGGAAUAUUCUACUCCAAGGUUUUCCUUCAAUUAAGGAGGCUGUUAUCCCACUCCAUCCCACAGUCCCAAACCUAUACACUGAUUUGACUUGUUUACCAGUAGGCCUGGAUGAUUCAAGUGUCUCCUUGACCUCAACAAUAGUAAAACCACCUUUCUUAUUCCAUUAUACUCUGACUCGAAAUACCUGUUUGCUUUGAGUGGACUGACCCUUCUCCAGCAGAAACCACUAGAUACACUUAGGUGGUGCUGCUUCAGGUACUCAAGCACAAUUCCCACCUAUUUAGAAAUGGCCUAACAAGAGAACUGCAGCUUACUAAGUAAUAGAAAUGGAGCUCUUCGAUAAUUAUCUCCUUAUCUGCAUCCCUACAAAAAUUGCUGUCAGUUCUUAGUUUCUUUUGUACCAGGGAUGGUUAACCACUGAGCCACAUCCCCAGCAUUUUAAUAUUUUAUGUAGAGUCAGGGUCUUGCUGAGUUACAUAGGGCCUUGCUAAGUUGCUGAGGCUGGCCUUGAACCCAUGAUCCUCUGCCUCAGCCUCCUGAGCCACUGGAAUUACAGGCAUGUGCCACCAUGCCUGGCAGUUCUUAAUUUCUUAGGGGUCCCGGUGUACUGGUGUCUCCACAAAAUCCCCAACUCUCCCAGCAAAAACUAAGAUAUGUAGGCCAUAUCCUAACUCCACAGGAAAUAACUCUUCACCCCUGAGUCCUUUAAAUGGUAGAACUACUCCACACCAAGAGAAAACUCAGAGCCUUCCUAGAAAUGACCGGAUUUUGUAGAAGGUAGAUCCCUGGUUUUGAACUUGGCCAAGCUACUCUGAGGUUACUCUGGGUCCCAACUGUACUGCUGGGCUGGACAGGGAAAUGGAGUUCAAAACUUAACUGCUUUCUGUUGCAGCUGGGGGGAUCCUGACUUGGAUGAACCCUUUCUCUCAUACAUACCUCGACCUGUAACUUAAUUUUCUAAUCAGUUCGAUUCUGCAUCCCGUGCAUGCCUCAAUGCCUAUGUACCAUGGUCACCACAGGACUUCUGGUGGAAAAGGUCAUUAAACUAACCCUGGGAUACACACUGGAGGUUCAGACCCCUGACUGGAUGAUGACUGUCCAAGCCCCAGGCGUCCUAUUGGAAUCCCCUGUGGUUUUUCCUAAUGUUUGCCUAACUGAAAACCUGGCAACCCUGGUUCCCUCCCCAGAGGAAGAAGAUGACUUCAUUCAUCCCUGUAUGGAGACCCCAGAAAAGGUUCACCCUAGAAGGCCUUGCUUCUGGGAUGGAACCAACAUUUGACCAACUCUGAUGUGGACUGGUUGACACAGGGAAAUAUUCCUUGGGGGAGGGAGCAGGAGGGCAGACUGUGCCACUCCAUCCCAGAAGCAAGACCUCUUCCCCAGGCUCCUCAACAAAACUGAAAUAACCAGCUUUCCUGCGGCUGAGUCAGAAAUCUACACUGACUGUAGGUGUGCAUUCCUAGGUCUUCAUGCUCACAUGACAAUAUAGAAGGAACGGGGACUCCUGACAGGAGGGGGAAAAAAAACCCAGUUGAACAUAAAAACAUGGAUCUGAAACUGUCCCCCUCCUGGAAGCAGUAUGGUUACUCAGGCAGUGUCCAUGCAGGUCAGGGGACCCCCAAGAUGGUGGUUCACACAGAAUGCAGGGAGUACAUUUAUAGAUCCCAGUGCUUCAGAAAUGGCCUAAUGCCCGUGGCCCCAAUCUUGCGUGCAUCCUGCUCUUAGUCAAAGAUGGAGGAGGGAUGGGCAAACAAUGGGGACAGAAGCAGCAGAAGAUGGCUGGGGGACUAAAGAGAUCAUAAGACAUGACUUGUUGCUUAGGGAGGCACUGAUGACUUUGGUCACUCAGACCUUUUUGUGGGGAAAGAUGUCACCUCUUCCAUUCAAGAUGCUAUAAGAGUUUGUUCCACACCUGUGUAAUACCAGCAGAGUCGGGGUGUGGGUGACCAAACCACCCCCUUUACCUAACCUCUGCAGGAAUGAGGUGCAUUCCCCAUUUCCCUCCCCCUUGGUAAGGAUGUGAACACCUUCUUGGUUUUGCUGAUAACCUUUUCUGGGUGAAUAGCAGCAUACCCCACCUGAACCCAAAAGGCCCAACAGGUCACUAGAGCUCUAUGAAAGGAAACUAUCCUCAGGUUGGAUCCCUGGGUCACUCCAGAGUGAUCCUGGGCCUCUAUCUCCUGGGUGAUGCAGGAGACCUAAUGGGCAUUGAGCACCUCUUACAUCUUUACACCCUUACCUCAAUUGUCAGACGAGUGGAAAGGGACAAUCUACUGAUUAAAAUCACCUUGAAAGAAACCCCCAAACCCUUAGGACAACUUUGGCCUAUUGGGCUGUGAAUAAUCAGAGUGGCCCCCCAAAACUUCUCUCCAGCUGAGCCAUUGUGAAAUGCUGUAUGGGAGGCCAUUUGUGACUUAGACCCUGUCACUGAUGCUAAGAUACAAGAAGCUGUCAGAUAUAAAAUCAAUUUGAAAGAAGUGCAAAAGGCCCUUUGGAGUUCAGAAAUAAAGUCCACUCAGUUUCUGACUCCAGCUCUGCUGUACCACAAAUUCAACCAAGGGAUGUCAUUGUUUUAAAGAUUUGGAAAAGGAACUCACACACCAGCCUGUUAAGUAAAUGAACUUGUGACACCUCAGCGGCUCCUAUGAUAAGACAGAAGCUGUUCCUGAACACAGGCUUGUGUGAUUACCUGGGAAAAUGUUUUUUUUUGUGACACAGGCACAAAACCUUGGAGGCUUCUAUGACAUGGAAACCAUAACACAUUAUUGAAAAGAGGUGUCUCAAACAUGGGGAGUAGGAUGUAUCUUCUCUUCAGCUUGACAAAAUACACAUUUUCACCAAUGACCACUGAGAUACCAUCUCUAUGCUACACAGGAACUGGACAAGAGAGGUCCAAGUCUAACUGUAGCUGGGGAAUCACCUGAAUUAAAUCACUUUCUGGAUUGAUGACACCUCAGAAACCACAAGAGACAUUGCCAUCAAAACUGGACAAGACAUUCAAUUGCUACCAAAUUCCAUGGUCUCGUUAACUCAUCUGGUGUUACAAAAUAAGAGAUUAUUUUUUGCCUCAGGAAGGUGGAUUUGGGCUCUGGCAAGUACCACCUGCUGUUUUCAUGUCAGUGUGUCUGAACCCAGAAACCAGUGCUGAUAGCUGAUAAGACUUUACAAAGUAAAUCUUUGUAAAUACUUGGCUUACAACUGCUUCCCCAGGCAGUGCUGGGCUCUAUGCCAAACUAUGAGGCUUCCUUGACUAGCUUCACCUGGCUCUUACCAUGAUUAGGAUAUUUGGUUGCUAUAUUUCUCCUACUUUGGGCUCUGAUCUUCAUCUCCUGGUAAAAUAUGUCUCUUGGAGACAGAAACUUGAGAUUAAGAAAAUGCUGGGUCAAGACUUAGGCUUCCCUACACCAGACGCUCCACCCUCACCCCACCCCAAAGCUGCCAGCAUCCCCUCCACCGAGUCCAGGCAAUCGGACACCUUUGGUUCCUGGCUAGGCAGGGAUAUUGUCCUACUCCAGCUGAGGCAUCUCUGGAAGAUGGACCAUCCCCCUUUAUCAAAUCCUAAAUAAGAUAUCAGAGUCUCUGGAGAAGGGAACGAAUGAGACAGGAAACAAGGAAGUAGGUGCAGGCACAGAGUCUUGCUCAGUGGGCAGUUACUCGACAACAGAAUUUCCAUUGGCAUAAGGCUUCCUGCCAGAUUCUAAAUAUGGGGAGUAGUUGGGAAUCUUGCUGGCAUCAGGCCUCCUGUUCAUGCACAGGUAUCCCACCUGCAUUAGUUUGGAAAAGACAAUAGUCUCCCUAGCCACAAGGGACCACACUUUGAGCAAUGUGUACCUUGAGCAAGCCUUCAAUUGCUUUUCCGGGAGGUGCACUAAGAAGAAAGCUGACCUCUACAUUUUGCUUAUUAUGACUUGUUACCAUAUGUCCUCCCACACCCCUUAGCUGCAUAAUUACAUGCUAAUGAUGUUGAGUGGGGUUCCAUAAGGGCCACCCUAUUCUGAGGCACUGCAUCCAUAAUCAACCCUACUUGUGAAUAUUAAAAUGAAGAUCAACCCUAAAUUUCAUAAGGAGACAGAAAUAGAGACCACCCAUAGGCAACCAGAAAAGGGUCUCAGAAUAAAAGGAGGAAGAGACCAUGCCAUCCUAGCCUGGGGGAUGUAUUGUUGCUGCCCUUGACAGCUUCAACUGCAACAGCUCAUCCUGAGUUCCUCCUCCCGCUAUGCCUAACAACAUAAAUCACAUAAUACCUUCUCUACAUCACUUUCUCUAGUGCCAGCAAACCCUCACCCCAACCUUUAUGCUAGGAAAGGCUUGAAAACUAUUGUCUCUGUGUUUGUUGAAGAAGACAAAAUAGAGUUGAUGAGCCCCCUUUUAAAUCCUGUAUUUUUAUGUCAUCUAACCAGUCUCCUAUAGGGACAGAUCAAGAUCAUAACACCCUAGACAACAGCCACCCAUUGGCUUCCCUCCCUCUUUGGGAGCUCUGCCCAAUGAACUUGUUGCUUUGCUCUCAAUCCGUUCUGUCCAUAGAUUUCAUUCUUAGAAUUCAUGAGACAACCCAGACCCCUACUCUGUGUUACAAUAGUCCGCAGUCUAACUGUUGAGCUGCUCAGCUUUUGAAUAAACCCACUCGCAGCUUGGAAUAUGUAUUUUUCACUUUGCAAUAAAGCAUUUCCUUUCUUCCUA
Non-coding RNA from Ictidomys tridecemlineatus (thirteen-lined ground squirrel), 11906 nucleotides. NCBI's taxonomy places the organism in Eukaryota, Metazoa, Chordata, Mammalia, Rodentia, Sciuridae. The record is from RefSeq and is a predicted model, not a curated record.